UGAGUACGAGAUGCUACGGCAUCGAAGCAGUCUAUGUCAUACUUCCAAGAAAAGCUUGCACUGUCAUAAACAAAGAAUGCCUGUACCAUAACCGACACAGGUGGGUAGGUAGAGUAUACUAAGGGGCGCGAGAUAACUCUCUCUAAGGAACUCGGCAAAAUGACUCCGUAACUUCGGGAGAAGGAGUGCCUUAUUUCUAAGGUUGCAAUAACAAGAUCCAAGCAACUGUUUACCAAAAACACAGGUCUCCGCUAAGUCGUAAGACGAUGUAUGGGGGCUGACGCCUGCCCAGUGCCAGAAGGUUAAAGAAGUUGGUUAGCAUUAGCGAAGCUGAUAACUGAAGCCCUGGUGAACGGCGGCCGUAACUAUAACGGUCCUAAGGUAGCGAAAUUCCUUGUCGGGUAAGUUCCGACCCGCACGAAAGGCGUAAUGAUUUGGAUACUGUCUCGGAGAGGGGCUCGGUGAAAUAGACUUGUCUGUGAAGAUGCGGACUACCUGCACCUGGACAGAAAGACCCUAUGAAGCUUUACUGUAACUUGAGAUUGAAAUUGGACUUUAUUUGCGCAGUAUAGGUGGGAGGCGUUGAGAAUAAUCUUGCGGGAUUGUUGGAGCCAUCAGUGAGAUACCACUCUUGUAAUGUUAGAUUUCUAACUUUGUAUCAUUAUCUGGUCAAAGAACAGUUUCAGGCGGGCAGUUUGACUGGGGCGGUCGCCUCCCAAAGGGUAACGGAGGCGCACAAAGGUUUCCUCUGAACGGGUAGAAAUCGUAUCUAGAGUGUAAAGGCAUAAGGAAGCUUGACUGUGAGACCUACAAGUCGAGCAGGGACGAAAGUCGGUCUUAGUGAUCUGACGGUGCUGAGUGGAAAGGCCGUCACUCAACGGAUAAAAGUUACUCUAAGGAUAACAGGCUGAUCUCCCCCAAGAGCUCACAUCGACGGGGAGGUUUGGCACCUCGAUGUCGGCUCAUCGCAUCCUGGGGCGGUAGUCCGUCCCAAGGGUUGGGCUGUUCGCCCAUGAAAGCGGUACGCGAGCUGGGUUCAGAACGUCGUGAGACAGUUCGGUCCAUAUCCGGUGUAGGCGUUAGAAUAUUGAGAGGAGCCUUCUCUAGUACGAGAGGACCGAGAAGGACAUACCUCUGGUGUACCAGUUAUCGUGCCAACGGUAAACGCUGGGUAGCUAUGUAUGGAGUGGAUAACCGCUGAAAGCAUCUAAGUGGGAAGCCCACCUCAAGAUAAGUAUUCUCAU
This 1244-nucleotide ribosomal RNA is filed under the name metagenome. RNAcentral describes it as "bacterial LSU rRNA". It matches the Rfam family "Bacterial large subunit ribosomal RNA", at positions 1564 to 2817 of the family's 2925-position model. The record is from RNAcentral.